GCAGUCGACGGCAGCACGGGGGCAACCCUGGUGGCGAGUGGCGAACGGGUGAGUAAUACAUCGGAACGUGUCCUGUAGUGGGGGAUAGCCCGGCGAAAGCCGGAUUAAUACCGCAUACGAUCUACGGAAGAAAGCGGGGGAUCGCAAGACCUCGCGCUAUAGGGGCGGCCGAUGGCAGAUUAGCUAGUUGGUGGGGUAAAGGCCUACCAAGGCGACGAUCUGUAGCUGGUCUGAGAGGACGACCAGCCACACUGGGACUGAGACACGGCCCAGACACCUACGGGAGGCAGCAGUGGGGAAUUUUGGACAAUGGGGGAAACCCUGAUCCAGCAAUGCCG
This 338-nucleotide ribosomal RNA is filed under the name Burkholderia sp. DA26. RNAcentral describes it as "bacterial SSU rRNA". It matches the Rfam family "Bacterial small subunit ribosomal RNA", at positions 57 to 399 of the family's 1533-position model. Lineage: Bacteria; Pseudomonadati; Pseudomonadota; Betaproteobacteria; Burkholderiales; Burkholderiaceae. The record is from RNAcentral.